CGCAAAUGCGGAUAUAAAG
RNAcentral lists this small nuclear RNA (19 nucleotides) under Arabidopsis thaliana (thale cress). RNAcentral's name for it is "snRNA_15574". Lineage: Eukaryota; Viridiplantae; Streptophyta; Magnoliopsida; Brassicales; Brassicaceae. The record is from RNAcentral.